AACGAACGUUGGCGGCGUGGAUGAGGCAUGCAAGUCGCGCGUGAAAGUCCCUUCGGGGGCGAGUAAAGCGGCGGACGGGUGAGCAAUACGUACUCAAGCUGCCCUCGAGACGGGGAUAACGGCGGGAAACCGUCGCUAAUACCCGAUUCAUCUGUUGAGCUGCAUGGCUUGACAGAGAAACGGUGGGGACCCUUCGGGGCCUGCUGCUCGGGGAUGCGAUUACGGCCUAUCAGCUAGUUGGUGGGGUAACGGCCUACCAAGGCGACGACGGGUAGCCGGCCUGAGAGGGUGGUCGGCCACACUGGGACUGAGACACUGCCCAGACUCCUACGGGAGGCUGCAGUCGAGAAUCUUCCGCAAUGGGCGAAAGCCUGACGGAGCGACGCCGCGUGUAGGAUGAAGGCCUUCGGGUUGUAAACUACUGUCACGGGUUAUGAAUGUGUAUGCAUGAAUAGUGCAUGCAUUGACGUAAGCCCGGAAGGAAGCACCGGCUAACUCUGUGCCAGCAGCCGCGGUAAUACAGAGGGUGCAAACGUUGUUCGGAAUUACUGGGCAUAAAGCGCGCGUAGGCGGCGAUGUAAGUGUAGGGUGAAAUCCCACGGCUUACCCGUGUGAAUUGCCCCGCAUACUGCGUUGCUCGAGUGUGAUAGGGGAGAGCGGAACUCC
RNAcentral lists this ribosomal RNA (666 nucleotides) under uncultured bacterium. RNAcentral describes it as "bacterial SSU rRNA". It matches the Rfam family "Bacterial small subunit ribosomal RNA", at positions 28 to 670 of the family's 1533-position model. The record is from RNAcentral.